This 10786-nucleotide long non-coding RNA is filed under the name Sorghum bicolor (sorghum). Its description in RNAcentral is "long non-coding RNA (SBIC_LNC018375)". Lineage: Eukaryota; Viridiplantae; Streptophyta; Magnoliopsida; Poales; Poaceae. The record is from RNAcentral.
GACAUUCUCCCCGGAUUCUCGUCGGCAACAGCUUCUCCUGCUUCUGGUUAGCUUCUCUUGGUUCUCCCGCUUCUUUUCAAAAUCUGGCAAACCCAAUAUAUAUCGACGCUCCAGCUUCUCCUCCCAGAUUCUUUCCCCAUCUCUCUCAUGCGUCGCUCGCUCUUUCUCGUCCUCCCGACGCUACGGGAGACGGCGCUGGGGCUGAGCAGGGCGGCGACGGUGAGCGACCUCCUCCUCCUCCUCCGACCCCUCCUCCUCCUGCGAGCUCCCUCCCCAUCCUCUCCUUUUCUCCCCUUCAUUCUCGAGGUGGCGGUGGCGUGGCGGCCGUAGCAAGGCGAUGGCGCCCCUCGCGGGUGGCGCGCCGACGAUCUCUUCCUCUCCCCAUUCUCCGUGCAGCCUCCUAGAUGCCUCUUCCCGCCGGGGAGCACCUACCAAGUUCCUCCAUGAAACCCUAGCUAUACAUGCUUCUUAUUUCCUCUGAUUUGGUUUAUGCUUCUGUUGGAUGAUUUCGUAGUUACUAUGAUGCUGAUGCGGGGCACUGUUUGUGUGCAAAGGGAACGGUCCAAGGCGAGUUGCCCUUCCUCAGCUUAGUCGUUAGGUUAGUGUGUUGACUUUAGUGGUAGGUUAAUGAACGAGUGGACAUGGCUGAACCCCCUUUAUUGCAGCAGGAUACUAUCUCAAAUGGAUUUUGUUCUCAGCACAUUCCUAUAUAUGGCUCAUAAUAUUUAAAAUCUGAUAUGUCGCUAAUCUCAUUAGCAUCGGUUUUAUUAAAUGUUAUUUUUUACGUAUAGCUUGAUCCAAAAAAUAUGCCACUUCAUGAACUGCAGAUAGCUAAAGUUAAGGAACACAACAUUUACCAAGUGCAUGGUCAUAUUGUGCUUGCCGAAAUAACAUAGCACUUCAUUUCAAUGUGAAGGCUUGCUGCAGUAAGAUAAUAACCUGAACAUUGUCGGAUUCGCAGUUGGAUGACUGUAGUUAUUAUCUGUGACUUCCAUAAUUAGUCUUGUGGGUUUAUUUUGUGCUUUUAUAGUUUUUACUGAGGUUGUAAGACCAGAUUGCCUUCCAAAGGUGAGUUUUUUCCCUGAUUAAGUAAGCUGUUGAUGAAAAAAAUGAAUCCUUCCAAUGUCUAGUCCAAUUACAGAGGUGGUGCUGACCAUUGGUUGUGUUUGCAAAGGGACAGGUCCAAGGCAAUGGUGCUAAGGAUGGCAACGGAUCGGUUUUGGUUCGGAUAUCCGCGGGUUUUCGGGUCCAGUGGUUUUGGUUUUGGUGGUAGUUUUUCGUCAACGAUUUUCGGGUUCGGGGCCCGAAACCGAUCGGGUUUGGUUUCGGGUUUGGUUUUCCAUCCGUGGAUGUUAUGACCGGUAUGGUCUAUCAGAGGAGGGAGAAGGAACGUGGCUGAACCAGACCAGGAGGGCAGCCUGGACGUAGUCACCACCUGGCCUAUUGGCCAAGUUAUCUAGAGUUUGCAUUAGUUAAGAUUUACUUUAGUUAAGAUUUACUUUCCAUAAUAGAUUAGAUCUAUUAGAUUGGGACUGCUAUUGUAUAAAGAGUGGAACUCGUAUUCAAUGAGAGGUUAGCCUGGGAUUGAGAUAUUCUUAUCUCCCUUGGGCUCCCGGCCCUUGUCUCCUGUUCUCCGUCUCCCUGUUGCGUGAGUUCCCUCGACAACGGCACCUGCACGCCGCCGCCCAGCUCGCCCGCACGCCCCUGUCUCUCCCCCAUACUUCCUCCGAAGCAAGCUCCGGCGUCGUAACAACCUGGUAUCAGAGACCAUGGCUACGACCGGCGUCUCCUCCAGCCCCGUCGAUCCUGCUGCCGGCGCUACUCUUCCCCAAAGCACCGCCACCCUCCCCGCUGCCGACCCCACAAUACCACCUGUAUCUUCCAGCGCCCUGAUUCCCACCCUCGCCAUGCCGCUCACCACCCACACACCGCCCCCACAGCUGGUGUCCAUGCCCAGCGACACCCUGAAUUUCUUCACCAACACCCUGCAAGGGAUCCAAAACCAGCUGUCUGUCCUCAACUUCCAGGUGGGUGAUCUCGCCACGCGUGUGGCUGUCAUCGACGGCCGGGAAUUGGCUUCGGGCCAGCACCUUCCCCAGAUUGCGCUGCCAGGGUUUAGCUCCAUGCCCGCCCUGACUGCGCCCUCCGCGUCGACACCCCAUGUGCCAGCGGCAUCUUCGGCGCCCGCGUCGACACCCCAUGUGCCAGCGGCAUCUUCGGCGCCCGCAGCAACAACAAUGGGUUCCCUGUCCUUUGGCUCGGUGCAGCCGACGUCCGCUGCACUAACAGCGGGGGUGCCAAUCAAUCAGAUCCGCUUCCCGGCUUCACCGUCUCCGAUCCCUUCACUGGAGACAAUCCUGAGGGGCGCACCAGCCAUGUCCUCAGCUCCGAUGGCAUCACCGUCACCACAUGUCAGCGUGUCCCCGGCACCGGAUGGUCACGUCGUCCCCAAGUACCACAAGCUUACGUUUCCCACCUUUGAUGGCAAGGAGGACCCGCUGGGGUGGCUGAACAAGUGUGAACAAUUUUUCAAUGGGCACCAGACGCGCCACACCGACCGAGUCUGGCUUGCAUCUUAUCACCUCACCGGGGUUGCCCAGCAGUGGUACCUCGUCCUUGAGGCUGACUCCGGUCGUCCACAGUGGGAGGAGUUCCGCACGUUGUGCCAUCAACGCUUCGGGCCGCCCCUCAGCACCAACCAUCUCUCAGAUCUCGCGCGCCUACCUUUCACCUCCACGGUGGAUGCCUACAUGGAGGCGUUCCAGGCUCGCGCAGCCCACGCCGGGCGUCUCUCUCCGGGCCAGAAGGCCAAGCUGUUCACUGGAGGCCUGCCCCAUCACAUCCGCGUCGAUGUCGAGCUCCACGACCCGCAGGACCUGCAGCGUGCCAUGUACUUGGCCCGCGCCUAUGAACGCCGGAACACACCGGCGCCCCUUGCCCUGCCGGCACCCCCGCGCCGCCGACCGACCAGCACCACUUCGACGCCGGCUGGUGCGGUGACCCAGGCGGAGAGCUCCUCAUCCUCAGCACCGCCGCGCCUCUUCAAGCGGCUCACCCCAGAUGAGAUGGCCGAGCGCCGAAAGCAAGGCCUUUGCUACAACUGUGAUGAGCCGUACGUCCGUGGCCACAAGUGUGCUCGGCUGUUCUUCCUGGAGGUCACCGAUUAUAUUGUGGAGGAGCCUGAAGAUACGGACAGCGGCAGUACGCAGCCGGCUGAGGACGCGCCCUAUGACACCGACAAGCCCCUGAUCUCCCUGUCCGCGAUCACCGGCAUUCGAGCGCACGAGACGAUGCAGCUCCGCGUACAUGUGGGUCCGCACGAGCUGACUGCGCUGCUGGAUUCGGGAUCCACUCACAACUUCAUCAGCAGCGCCGCAGCCCACCGCGCAGGUCUCCACUUCCAGGACAGCGAGGGGGCUCACGUCACGGUCGCCAACGGUGACCGCGUCCUGUGUCGCGGCCUCGCUCGCGGAGUCAACCUCCAGAUCGGCAUGGAGGUCUUCAAGGUCGAUUGCUACGCCAUUCCGCUGGACUCCUGUGACAUGGUCCUUGGCAUCGCCUGGCUACGCACACUCGGACCCAUCUUGUGGGACUUCGACAACCUGCGCAUGGAGUUCUCUCUACACGGCCGCCGAGUACAAUGGCGCGGCGAAGGGACGCCAUGCUCAGCAGCAGUACCAGCAGCAUCGGCCCCCAACACCCAGAGCCUGCAGAUCUUCUCGGCCAAGGGGACCGAGCCGGCCCUCCUCGAGCGCCUGCUGGACGCAUACGCUGACGUGUUCGCAGAGCCGGACGGGCUGCCACCAGCCCGCGACUGUGACCAUCGGAUCCACCUCAAGCCGGCCACGGAGCCCGUGGCGGUGCGCCCGUACCGCUACCCGCAGCUCCAAAAAGACGAGCUCGAACGCCAGUGCGACGCAAUGCUGCAGCAGGGCACGAUCCGUGCCAGCACCUCCCCGUUCUCAGCACCAGUUCUGCUGGUCAAGAAACAAGAUGGCUCGUGGCGCUUCUGCGUGGACUACCGCGCGCUCAACUCAGCCACCGUGAAGGACAAAUUUCCCAUACCAGUGGUCGAGGAACUUUUGGAUGAACUCCGUGGUGCUCGCUUCUUUACGAAGUUGGAUCUCCGCUCCGGGUACCACCAGAUUCGUGUACAUCCUGAUGACGUGGCCAAAACGGCGUUCCGAACCCACCACGGCCACUUUGAGUUCCUGGUCAUGCCGUUCGGCCUCUCCAACGCGCCGUCGACAUUCCAGGCCCUCAUGAACACGGUGCUGAAGCCCUUUCUUCGCCGAUGCGUGUUGGUGUUCUUCGACGACAUCCUGAUUUACAGCGCCACGUGGACUGAACACCUCCUCCAGCUGCGCGCCGUCCUCGACGUCCUUCGAACCCACAGCCUUCAUCUCAAGAGGUCCAAGUGCUCCUUCGCAGCGACUUCAGUUCACUAUUUGGGCCAUGUGAUUUCUCAUGCAGGGGUCUCCAUGGACGUGUCCAAGGUGGCGGCGGUCCAGUCUUGGCCACAACCGCGUUCAGCCCGUGGUCUUCGAGGCUUCCUCGGCCUCGCGGGAUACUACAGGCGCUUCAUCAAGGACUAUGGCGCUAUUGCGGCGCCGCUGACCAGCCUCCUGCGCAAGAACGCCUUCUUGUGGACAGCCGAGGCUGAGGACGCGUUUUCUGCAUUGAAGCAAGCCCUUUCCGCCGCCCCGGUGCUGCAUCUUCCGGACUUCAACCUCGAGUUCUUCGUCGACUGCGACGCGUCCGGCUCCGGCUUCGGGGCUGUUUUGCAUCAAGGCGAGGGCCCUUUGGCGUUCUUCAGCAGGCCAUUCGCUGUUCGCCACCUGAAGGUUGCUGCAUAUGAGCGCGAGCUGAUCGGUUUGGUCCAGGCAGUGCGGCAUUGGCGGCCGUACCUCUGGGGCCGUUCCUUCAUCGUCCGCACCGAUCACUAUGCGCUCAAGUUCCUGCUAGACCAACGCCUAUCAACGAUCCCGCAGAAUCACUGGAUCAGUAAACUCAUGGGUUAUGAUUUCAGGAUUGAGUUCAGGCCAGGGCGCUUCAAUGUCGUCGCCGACGCGUUAUCAAGGCGGGAUGGCGACGCACCCUUGCUGUCCACGUUGCCGUCGGCUGAGCCGGUACUGGCAGCACUUUCGACACCAACAUUCCAGCUGUUCGACGAGCUCCGCCAAGAGUUUGCUGCCUCCGAUGAGCUUCGGGCAGUCUGCGAAGAAGUGGCUGCGGGCGGCCGCGGCGCGGACUGGGCGCUGCAGGACGGCCUCCUUCUCCACAAGGGGCGGGUCUAUGUUCCAGCCUCUUCCUCGGUCUUCGACGACGUGCUACAGCUCGCGCACACCAACGCACACGAGGGGAUCCAAAAGACGCUGCAGCGACUGCGCACUGAGUUCUUCAUAGAACAUGAUCGCCGCACUGUCCAUGACUACAUUCGGGCCUGUGCAACGUGUCAGCGCAACAAGUCAGAGGCUAUGCACCCGGCUGGUUUGCUGCAGCCCCUACCGGUGCCAUCGAAGGUGUGGGCUGACAUCGUGAUGGACUUCGUCGAGGCGUUACCCAAGGUGCACGGCAAAAGCGUUAUCUUGACAGUGGUGGAUCGCUUCUCCAAGUAUGCCCACUUCAUUCCUCUGGGACAUCCAUACACAGCCUCGUCUGUUGCUCGCGCGUUCUUCCGCGACAUCGUGCGUCUCCAUGGUUUUCCGGACUCCAUUGUAAGUGACCGUGAUCCGGUGUUCACGGGGAAUGUGUGGCGCGAUCUCUUCAAGCAGGCUGGCGUCCAACUUCGCAUGAGUACCGCCUUCCACCCACAGACGGAUGGGCAGUCCGAGGCUGUGAACAAGACGAUUGCAAUGUAUCUCCGCUGCAUCACAGGUGAUCGUCCAAGAGAUUGGCUUGAUUGGCUGCCGUGGGCUGAGUUCUGUUACAACACAUCCUUUCACUCAGCACUGUGUGCCUCUCCUUUCAUGGUGGUGUAUGGACGGCCGCCGCCACCACUGCUGCCAUAUGGUCCCGGGACAGCCCGCACCGAAAUUGUGGAUUCCCUGCUAGCUGACAGGGAUGAGUUUCUGGCAGAGGUUCGUGCUCGUCUUCUCCAAGCCCAGGAACACGCACGCCGCUUCUACGACGCCAAGCACCGACCUCUCGAAUUGGCUGUGGGUGACUGGGUGCUGCUCCGGUUGUUCCGCCACAACCAGUCUGUUGCACCGGGCAGCACCGGCAAGUUGGGCCCCAAGUACGCUGGUCCGUUCCAGAUCUUGGAACGCAUUGGCGAGGUGGCAUAUCGGCUCCAACUUCCUGACGGUGCCCGCAUUCAUGAUGUGUUCCAUGUGGGCGUCCUCAAGCCGUUCCGGGGGCCGCUGCCUGCAGCUGCACCAACAUUGCCUUCUUCGUCCACAGCAGGUGCUGCGUUCUCGGCUCAGCCGCGGCGAGUGGCAUGUUCUCGUCCAGUGGGCGAAUCUUCCACCUUCAGAAGCUACUUGGGAGCCGGUGUCAGACUUCCGUGCUGCUUACCCUUCCUUUCAGCUCGAGGACGAGCUGUUUCCGAAGGAGGGGAGAGAUGUUAUGACCGGUAUGGUCUAUCAGAGGAGGGAGAAGGAACGUGGCUGAACCAGACCAGGAGGGCAGCCUGGACGUAGUCACCACCUGGCCUAUUGGCCAAGUUAUCUAGAGUUUGCAUUAGUUAAGAUUUACUUUAGUUAAGAUUUACUUUCCAUAAUAGAUUAGAUCUAUUAGAUUGGGACUGCUAUUGUAUAAAGAGUGGAACUCGUAUUCAAUGAGAGGUUAGCCUGGGAUUGAGAUAUUCUUAUCUCCCUUGGGCUCCCGGCCCUUGUCUCCUGUUCUCCGUCUCCCUGUUGCGUGAGUUCCCUCGACAACGGCACCUGCACGCCGCCGCCCAGCUCGCCCGCACGCCCCUGUCUCUCCCCCAUACUUCCUCCGAAGCAAGCUCCGGCGUCGUAACAGUGGAUAUCCAAUGGAUAUCCAAAAUAAAUCAUUUGGAAUUAAAAUUUAUAUUUUAUAAUAUGAUAAUAAUAAUUUAUUUACUUAGAUUAUUAAAUUUAUUCAAAGUUAACUCAUGAAAAUAUUUAUUAUUUGUUGCAUCUUGUUUAUACAUGUGAAUAUGUGUCUAUAUAUCCGCGGAUUUCGGGUAACUAUUUCGGUUUUGGGUAUCCGUUCGGGUUUCGGGUAUCCGCGGGUUUGGUUUUGGUGUUGAAUUUCCACCCGAUUUGGUUUCGGUUUUGGUUUCGGGUUUCGACUUCGCGUUUCGGUUUUGGGUGCACGGAGACUCCACCCGAUCCAAACCCAACCUGUUGCCAUCCUUAAAUGGUGCUCUUCCUUCACUUAGUUGUCAGGUUAGUGUGUUGGCUUCAAUGGUGCCUUAAUGAACGAGUGGACAUGGCUAAGCCCCAUUUAUCGCAGCUGGAUAUUAUCUCAAAACAAUUUUGAUCUCAGCAUACUCUUAUAUAUGGCUAACAAAUUUUUAAUUUAAUAUGUCGCUAAUCUCAUUGACAUCGGUUUUAUGUACUCUAAUAUUAGUUUUUAUGUACAGCUUGAUUCGAAAGAUAUGCUACUUCAUGAAGAGCAGAUAGCUAAAGUUCAAGAACACGUCAUUCAGCAGGUGUAUGGUGAUACUGUGCUUGCCGAAAAAAACACUUCAUUUCAGUGUCGAGGCUGGCUGGCUGGCUGCAAUAAGGUAAUAACGUGGACAUUGUCGGAUUCAUGGUUGGAUGACUGUUGUUACCUAUGAAUUCCGUAAUUACUCUCCUAGAUUGAUUUUACGCUUCUAUAGUUUACCUGCUCCUACAUAGCGAUUGCAAGACUAGAUUUCCUUACAAAGCUACACUGAGAUAUUUUUUCCCUGAAAAAGAAAGUUACUCUAGAUGCUUCCUUACACAAAAUGUGUAGCUUUCCCAGUUUUGCUAAUAAAGCUGGUAAAAAGGAUUGAUGUUCUUGUGGUUGGUUUGACACUUUGAAAUUACCACUGCUUUGCAGCAAACAAUAAAGUGUGCAUAAUCGUUCUAUUUUUAUCUUUUAUGUGCUUCAUGAAGACCUAUAUUUGAUCCUGUUCAGCUGAGUGUUGAUGAAUUAUGUACCUUUUUGCCAUAAACACAUAAUUAUCAACAUAAAGAAAGAUAUCGACUGGGACCACCUUGAGUUCAGGAUUUGAGCCACCAAAUUUGUUGUUCUUUCUUUCCAAAAGGUUGUCUUCUCCUAAAUUUUAAUAUCCCACUACAGGCAGGUCAAAAAAAGGGUUGACCGUGCCUACACAAAGCUAUCCAAAGCUAAUACUGACACUGCCAAGUUAAACCAAUGUCCUAUCCCUAUUCAGCUGUAUUUGUAGCCUUUGAACGAUUUGGAAUCCCACUAUUUUGACAUUGUUGACAUCAUACAUCCACAAUAUAAUUCCGUCUUUAAACUAAACCAAAAAAAAGAUCUUUCAGUCCAAACUUACUUCCUCAGUCAGCAUCUAUGUUUUCUUUUAUUUUUACCAGACAUAUCUAUUUGCUUCAUCCACUUUGGGUCUCUUACAUAAAUAAAAUUAUUACAUUCAGUUGCACUACACUUUUACUUUUUCCACUACCAGUGCAGAACAUAGAGCGCCAAUCACCUGUGCCAAAAACUUUCAGAAUGUUGUUGACAGAGGUGGCUGAUUUCAUAUAUGUUCAAAGAUCUGAUCAUUCAUCUAAACCCAUAGAUAUGCAGUUUAUGCUAAAUAUUUAGGACAUCACUUAUGUUUCCAGACGUAGGAAAAAAAUUCUGAAAAAGUUUAUGUAUCCAUAUGAAUUUACUUCAUAUAUUUAGUGACACCUUUCCAACGUGUCUUAACCCUGUGACGAUUCUAUUUUAGUGAUACAGGUAAAAGAAAGCGAUGAAGAAACAUACAUAGACAAGAGCAUCGAACCAACACCCCCUCCCCCCCCCCCCCCCCCCUCUACCACCACCACCACAAAAAAAACCAGCCAUUCCUCAUUAGAUUACACAGCAAAGAGGUGAUUUCGUUGAGCAAUAUAAUACAUACCUAUAUAUUAUAGCACCCAGAACGGAAUAUAAGUUCUGCGCAUUAUGCAGUUUCCAAUACCAAAGUCAUAAAAAGAGAAAAUCCAUGUUGCCAUGCAGGGAAAUAGCAGCAGAAGAACAAGCUUCUCGCAGUAAAAAUAGGUGAGGCCCAAUCACGCUGCCCAUGUAGUCAGAUAUUGCUCACCUAAUAUUAAUUGUAUGCUUCAUGCCUUCAAUUUACUCUGGUUUUCUGAUGUGGUAGUUUUGUGUAUAGUUAGAAUGGGCGGGUCUCUUCUUUUUCACUUGCUCUUUCUUUUCCUACUAAAGUUCCCACGCUGCUCAUUAUCUUUUAAUUUUUUAUUUAUUUUAUUUACAGUACACAAUAUCUCCAGAAUUUUUACUCUCUUAAUAGAUUUAGUGUCUUCGUUCCAUACUACCUAUGAGACUAGAUCUUUUCCUACUAUUAUGACAGAUUUAAUAAGUGUCUUACAUACUCCUCGUGCUACUAACCGUUCUCCUUAUCCUACAACAAGUAUAUGAAACAGCGACAUGGAUCUACCAUUUUGUAACAUGAACAAGCUAUGCUCGGUGCAUAUGACAAGUCCCUAAUCACUUUCCUAUAUCCAGCCUGAUAAAAACAGUAAACUGACCAUCAAUUAUGGAGAAUUCAUCGCUGCAGUUGUGCCUCUUAAGAAAAUAGAACGUGAUGAGCACUUCAUGGCACCUUUUACUUCGACAGAGAUGGCAGUGCUCAGCGAGCUUCUGGAGACCAUAACAUGGACCACACUUUCUUUGAAGAGAUCAUUUAAGAUAUCGAACCAAACAAUGUAAGUUGGUUCUCUUACUUUAAGGACAGUAGUAGUGCAAAAAGAUUUUACCAUCAAUGUGAAUUACUUGGGCUACCUAAACAUGUCAGUCUCAUUCUAGACCGUGCGGUUGCAUUGCACGAAAAUACUACAAUGGUUCCUGACUGGGCUCAUUGCGUCAACCACAUAGUCUUAACUCACAGCUGUUGAUUUCAGCAACCAUAAAGGAUAAAAAAAUGUAAAUAUACUUGCUGACAGACCCUUCACCUUUUGAUCUUCAAUUUACAUGCGACAAUUCUCCUUGCCGAUAAUUCUCCUAUGUUUUUUUUUGCAAUUGACCUGACAAAUAGGCAAUAUAUUAUAGAAAUAUAUGAUCUGCAUGAUACUAUAGAAUUAUAUGACCUGACCAUAGCUGUUAAGAACUUAGGACUACCAAAUACCAACAAGGCCUCUGCUUAGUUCUAUUGUACUACUUCACUAAUGCAUAUGCUCUUGUGUCUGCUUUUCAGGAUGGUCAAAUCGACUGUGCCCCAAGUUCAUAGCGAUAAAACAAAUCAACAAAGUUUGGACUUUGGUGGUAACCAAUGCAAAACACUUGCAAUAUAUAACCUUGACAGGUGCACAUCAAGUACACUGUCAGUGAUGCACUAACCAUGUUCUUCACUUAUUAAUCGAUUAUUCGUCAAGCUCAGUGAAUCAAAUUAUUUAACAGUAUUUAUAUCCCAAAUAAGUGUAGCCUGCCAAGCAAUAUGUAAUUUGUCAUGAGAGUUUGCAGUUUUUACAUUAUGCAAUAAAAAAACAAUUGCCUAUAUUUACGAACUCGCGCGAGGGCGCGUGCCUUCCACUAGUGCAAACACAAAUUCGGUGAUGAAUGAAGCAAACAAAAGCCGGUGCAGACACUUGUGGGCCAUAGCAGUUCUGGUUUCCAUUCUCAAGUCCGAUCCGGGGCCUUGUUUAGUUCGAACUAAAAUAAAAAAAAA